Molecule: unclassified non-coding RNA, 433 nt
Filed under: Hevea brasiliensis (rubber tree)
Lineage: Eukaryota; Viridiplantae; Streptophyta; Magnoliopsida; Malpighiales; Euphorbiaceae
Source: RNAcentral
AGCAGCAACACGCCUCAUCUCAAGAAGCUCAUGCUUCUCUAUCUUCUGAGCAAGGCCUAUCUGAUCAAAGUUAUCAUGCAACUCAAUUGAUUCACGUAGCCUAUCAUAGUCUUCUUCCUCGACAUAAAUUUCAUUAAGUGCCUCAUUCACCGCAGAAACAUUGUUGCUCUGAACAGCAAUCAUGUAAGGCUUGACUAGGCGAAGGUGACCAGCCUUUCUCAUUAUGUCCACUACGCGUGUGUGAUCUACUCUAAGUGCAAGAACAUUUAGAAGGUCAUUAAUGAGAUCAGGAUGCUCUUGCAAAUAAAAGUGGACAGCCUUGUAAUAAAGCUCCACAUUAGCAACUUUGACAACAAUGUCUUUGAACUGCAUAUGAUCCCAGGCAUCUGGAGAGUGAUUCAUAACAGUGGUGGCAGCAUUAUCAAAUUCAUCA